CCUACGGGUGGCUGCAGUGGGGAAUUUUGGACACUGGGCGCAAGCCUGAUCCAGCCAUUCCGCGUGAGUGAAGAAGGCCUUCGGGUUGUAAAGCUCUUUCGCAAGGGAAGAAAACUUAUCCUCUAACAUAGGAUGAGGUUGACGGUACCUUGAUAAGAAGCACCGGCUACCUACGUGCCAGCAGCCGCGGUAAUACGUAGGGUGCGAGCGUGACUCAGGCUUGCGCAGCGUAAUGCGUGCGCAGGCUGUGAAAUCCCCGAGCUCAACUUGGGAACGGCGUUUGAAACUACAAGACUAGAAUAGGUCAGAGGGGGGUAGAAUUCCACGUGUAGCAGUGAAAUGCGUAGAGAUGUGGAGGAAUAUCAAUGGCGAAGGCAGCCCCCUGGGAUCAUAUUGACGCUCAUGCACGAAAGCGUGGGGAGCAAACAGGAUUAGAUACCCCAGUAGUC
This 449-nucleotide ribosomal RNA is filed under the name uncultured bacterium. RNAcentral's name for it is "partial 16S ribosomal RNA". It matches the Rfam family "Bacterial small subunit ribosomal RNA", at positions 338 to 795 of the family's 1533-position model. The record is from RNAcentral.